Long non-coding RNA from Syngnathoides biaculeatus (alligator pipefish), 595 nucleotides. RefSeq lists it as uncharacterized. The transcript has 4 exons. The record is from RefSeq and is a predicted model, not a curated record. NCBI's taxonomy places the organism in Eukaryota, Metazoa, Chordata, Actinopteri, Syngnathiformes, Syngnathidae.
CGCAGCAGAGGUUGAGGGUAAGCCGCCAGCUGCGCCAGGAUGCCCGUCAGCAACAAGUUGACGUGCAGCGAGUUGGACAGCAUGUUCUCCAGGCGCGACAGCAGGACGCUGACAAACGGACCUGUCCACGUUUCCACAGCGGCCGUAGACUUUGUGUCGUUGUCAACCUUCACCAGAGACAACAUGACUUCGUGGGUAACCCGAUAGGAGCGAACGGGCCGGUGCCGCCCGUCUUUUGUCACACAUGCCUGUGACAUUCGGCUGGGACGUUAUGUGGCCAAGGUACUCACCUUUGGAGAAGAGGAUGGACUCCAGCUGUCGGAGUGGCGGCGGGCUGCGGUCGGGCGAGCAGCAGGACGGCGUCAAGGCCAAGAUCUUUGCCGCCGACGCCGAGUAGAAGUCGCGCUCCCUCACCACGCGCCGCUGACUCAGCAUCAUGUGAUUGCACGGGAUCAGCGAUGCUGGGAGUUCACCUGAGGAUGAGCUGCAACAUGACGUCUUCACAGUGCAAACCGAUCAGAGUGCGGAAAAGCGCCAGCGACACGAUGCCCAGCUGAAGAAACGCAAAAGAAGACAUUUCAGCUGUACCUAAUAU